RNAcentral lists this transfer RNA (60 nucleotides) under Winkia neuii. It matches the Rfam family "tRNA", at positions 7 to 64 of the family's 71-position model. From Rfam's summary of the family: Transfer RNA (tRNA) molecules are approximately 80 nucleotides in length. Their secondary structure includes four short double-helical elements and three loops (D, anti-codon, and T loops). The record is from RNAcentral. Lineage: Bacteria; Bacillati; Actinomycetota; Actinomycetes; Actinomycetales; Actinomycetaceae. RNAcentral also lists the same sequence under 2 other names.
CGUAGCUCAAUGGCAGAGCAUUCGACUGUUAAUCGAACGGUUGUUGGUUCGAGUCCAACC